CACGUAGGCGGUUUGGUUAGUCUGAUGUGAAAGCCCCCGACUCAAUCGGGGAAGUGCAUUGGAUACUGCCAGACUAGAGUACAGGAGGGGUGAGUGGAAUUCCAGGUGUAGAGGUGAAAUUCGUAGAUAUCUGGAGGAACAACGGCGGCGAAGGCGACUCACUGGACUGUUACUGACGCUGAGGUGCGAAAGCGUGGGGAGCAAACA
This 207-nucleotide ribosomal RNA is filed under the name uncultured bacterium. RNAcentral's name for it is "partial 16S ribosomal RNA". It matches the Rfam family "Bacterial small subunit ribosomal RNA", at positions 568 to 774 of the family's 1533-position model. The record is from RNAcentral.